ACGAACGCUGGCGGCGUGCCUAAUACAUGCAAGUCGAACGGUCUUUCUAUGGAAGCUUGCUCCACUGAGAAGAUAGUGGCGAACGGGUGAGUAACACGUGGGUAACCUGCCCAUAAGAGGGGGGAUAACAUCCGGAAACGGGUGCUAAUACCGCAUAGUUUUCUUGAUCGCAUGAUCGGGAAAGGAGAGACGGCCUUUGUGCUGUCGCUUAUGGAUGGACCCGCGGCGUAUUAGUUAGUUGGUGAGGUAACGGCUCACCAAGACGAUGAUACGUAGCCGACCUGAGAGGGUGAUCGGCCACAUUGGGACUGAGACACGGCCCAAACUCCUACGGGAGGCAGCAGUAGGGAAUCUUCCGCAAUGGACGAAAGUCUGACGGAGCAACGCCGCGUGAGUGAAAGAAGGUUUUCGGAUCGUAAAACUCUGUUGUCAGAGAAGAACAAGUUGGAGAGUAACUGCUCCAGCCUUGACGGUAUCUGACCAGAAAGCCACGGCUAACUACGUGCCAGCCGCCGC
RNAcentral lists this ribosomal RNA (516 nucleotides) under uncultured bacterium. RNAcentral's name for it is "bacterial SSU rRNA". It matches the Rfam family "Bacterial small subunit ribosomal RNA", at positions 29 to 518 of the family's 1533-position model. The record is from RNAcentral.